UGGUGGAGUGAUUUGUCUGGUUAAUUCCGUUAACGAACGAGACCUCGACCUGCUAAAUAGUUCAGCGUAAACUCCGUUUAUGUAUGUACUUCUUAGAGGGACUGUCGGUUGUGAGCCGAAGGAAGUUCGAGGCAAUAACA
Molecule: ribosomal RNA, 140 nt
Filed under: uncultured eukaryote
Lineage: Eukaryota
Description: partial 18S ribosomal RNA
Rfam family: Eukaryotic small subunit ribosomal RNA
Source: RNAcentral